GACGAACGCUGGCGGCGUGCUUAACACAUGCAAGUCGAACGGAAAGGCCCUGCUUUUGUGGGGUGCUCGAGUGGCGAACGGGUGAGUAACACGUGAGUAACCUGCCCUUGACUUUGGGAUAACUUCAGGAAACUGGGGCUAAUACCGGAUAGGAGCUCCUGCUGCAUGGUGGGGGUUGGAAAGUUUCGGCGGUUGGGGAUGGACUCGCGGCUUAUCAGCUUGUUGGUGGGGUAGUGGCUUACCAAGGCUUUGACGGGUAGCCGGCCUGAGAGGGUGACUGGCCACAUUGGGACUGAGAUACGGCCCAGACUCCUACGGGAGGCAGCAGUGAGGAAUAUUGCACAAUGGGCGGAAGCCUGAUGCAGCAACGCAGCGUGCGGGAUGACAGCCUUCGGGUUGUAUACCGCUUUCGCCUGUGACGAAGCGUGAGUGACGGUAAUGGGUAAAGAAGCACCGGCUAACUACGUG
Molecule: ribosomal RNA, 468 nt
Filed under: uncultured bacterium
Lineage: Bacteria
Description: partial 16S ribosomal RNA
Rfam family: Bacterial small subunit ribosomal RNA
Source: RNAcentral